This 404-nucleotide unclassified non-coding RNA is filed under the name soil metagenome. RNAcentral's name for it is "partial contains 5.8S ribosomal RNA, internal transcribed spacer 2, and large subunit ribosomal RNA". The stretch from base 1 to 122 matches the Rfam family "5.8S ribosomal RNA", at positions 35 to 154 of the family's 154-position model. The record is from RNAcentral.
GAUGAAGAACGUAGCAAAAUGCGAUACUUGGUGUGAAUUGCAGAAUCCCGUGAACUAUCGAGUUUUUGAACGCAAGUUGCGCCCGAAGCCUUUUGGCCGAGGGCACGUCUGCCUGGGCGUCACGCAUCGCGUCGCCCCCCACAAUUCUCCGUAAAGGGAACGUGUGUUUUGGGGGCGGAUAUUGGUCUCCCGUGCUCAUGGCGUGGUUGGCCAAAAUAGGAGUCCUUUCGAUGGACGCACGAACUAGUGGUGGUCGUAAAAACCCUCGUCUUUUGUUUCGUGCUGUUGCUCGCAAUGUAAACUCUUUAAAAACCCCAAUGUGUCGUCUCUUGACGACGCUUCGACCGCGACCCCAGGUCAGGCGGGACUACCCGCUGAGUUUAAGCAUAUCAAUAAGCGGAGGA